ACACGACUACAUUAGAUACCCGUGUAGUCCCAGCCGUAAACUAUGCUCGCUAGGUGUCAGGGACGGCGCGACCGUUUCUGGUGCCGGCAGGGAAGCCGUGAAGCGAGCCACCUGGGAAGUACGGUCGCAAGGCUGAAACUUAAAGGAAUUGGCGGGGAGCACCACAAGAGGUGGAGGCUGCGGUUCAAUUGGACUCAACGCCGGAAAACUCAUCGGGAGCGACAGCAGUAUGAUUGCCAGGUUGAUGACCUUGCUUGACAAGCUG
RNAcentral lists this ribosomal RNA (265 nucleotides) under uncultured archaeon. RNAcentral describes it as "partial 16S ribosomal RNA". It matches the Rfam family "Archaeal small subunit ribosomal RNA", at positions 719 to 982 of the family's 1478-position model. The record is from RNAcentral.